RNAcentral lists this ribosomal RNA (522 nucleotides) under uncultured eukaryote. RNAcentral's name for it is "SSU rRNA". It matches the Rfam family "Eukaryotic small subunit ribosomal RNA", at positions 4 to 520 of the family's 1831-position model. The record is from RNAcentral.
CUGGUUGAUCCUGCCAGUAGUCAUAUGCUCGUCUCAAAGAUUAAGCCAUGCAUGUCUAAGUAUAAAACAUUUGUACUGUGAAACUGCGAAUGGCUCAUUACAUCAGUUAUAGUUUAUUUGAUAGUACCUUACUACUUGGAUAACCGUGGUAAUUUCUAGAGCUAAUACAUGCGUCAAAUCCCGACUAUUUUUUUUUGGAAGGGAUGUAUUUAUUAGAUAAAAACCAACCGGGCAACCGUUCUUUGGUGAUUCAUAAUAACUUCGCGAAUCGUAUGACUUUAAGUCGACGAUGGUUCAUUCAAAUUUGCCCUAUCAACUUUCGAUGAUAGGAUAUUGGCCAACCAUGGUUGUAACGGGUAACGGGAGAAUUAGGGUUCGAUUCCGGAGAGGGGGCCUGAGAAAUGGCCACCACAUCUAAGGAAGGCAGCAGGCGGCGCAAAUUACCCAAUCCUGACACAGGGAGGUAGUGACAAGAAAUAACAAAUCCUGGGCCUUUAAAGGUCUAGGAAAUUGGAAUGAGUA